UAGAGCUGGCAAAAUUUGACACGACCCGAUUACCCGACACGAACACGAUAUAAAUAAAUGGGUAUGGGUCGUCAAAUUUAACACGAUUAUUAAAUGGGUCGGGUCCAGGUCAACACGAUUUUUUUCCGUGUCGGGUUUGGGUUAAAAUUCUUGACCCAUUUACCCGAUCAAUGACCCGAUUAUAUUUUCUAUUUUAAAAUAAUUUACAUAUUCUUAUAAUUAAAACUCAAAUAUUAGAGAUGAUUUUCUUUUUUUUUAUUCUUUAAAAGGGUGAAUAUAAACACAAUGUUUUAUUUAUAAAAUUUUACAUACAUUUAGAGCUUCAAU
RNAcentral lists this long non-coding RNA (327 nucleotides) under Citrus sinensis (sweet orange). RNAcentral describes it as "long non-coding RNA (CSIN_LNC001473)". Lineage: Eukaryota; Viridiplantae; Streptophyta; Magnoliopsida; Sapindales; Rutaceae. The record is from RNAcentral.